GAUGAACGCUGGCGGCGUGCCUAAUACAUGCAAGUCGAACGGAGAGCUAGCAAUAGUUCUUAGUGGCGAACGGGUGAGUAACGCGUUGGUGACCUGCCCCGAAGAUCGGGAUAACAGCUCGAAAGGGCUGCUAAUACCGGAUGAGCUCCUGGUGGUUAGAGGGCCAGGAGGAAAGGAGUAAUCCGCUUUGGGAGGGGCCUGCGUCCCAUCAGCUAGUUGGUAAGGUAACGGCUUACCAAGGCAGAGACGGGUAGGGGGCCUGAGAGGGUGAUCCCCCACACUGGCACUGAAACACGGGCCAGACACCUACGGGUGGCAGCAGUAGGGAAUAUUGCACAAUGGGCGAAAGCCUGAUGCAGCAACGCCGCGUGCGCGAUGAAGGCCUUCGGGUUGUAAAGCGCUUUUCGGGGAGAAGAGGAAGGACGGUAUCCCCGGAAUAAGGCUCGGCUAACUACGUGCCAGCAGCCGCGGUAAAACGUAGGAGCCAAGCGUUAUCCGAAUUCACUGGGCGUAAAGCGCGUGCAGGCGGCCUGGUAAGUUGGAUGUGAAAUCUCCUGGCUCAACUAGGAGAGGCCGUUCAAGACUGUCAGGCUCGAGGGCGACAGAGGGAGGUGGAAUUCCGGGUGUAGUGGUGAAAUGCGUAGAUAUCCGGAGGAACACCAGAGGCGAAGGCGACCUCCUGGGUCGCACCUGACGCUGAGAUGCGAAAGCUAGGGGAGCAAACGGGAUUAGAAACCCCGGUAGUCCUAGCCGUAAACGAUGUAGACUGGGUGUUGGCGGGGUAAAAGCCGUCGGCGCCGAAGCCAACGCGAUAAGUCUACCGCCUGGGGACUACGGCCGCAAGGUUAA
This 849-nucleotide ribosomal RNA is filed under the name uncultured Chloroflexota bacterium. RNAcentral's name for it is "bacterial SSU rRNA". It matches the Rfam family "Bacterial small subunit ribosomal RNA", at positions 28 to 897 of the family's 1533-position model. Lineage: Bacteria; Bacillati; Chloroflexota. The record is from RNAcentral.